This 303-nucleotide ribosomal RNA is filed under the name uncultured bacterium. RNAcentral describes it as "partial 16S ribosomal RNA". It matches the Rfam family "Bacterial small subunit ribosomal RNA", at positions 507 to 809 of the family's 1533-position model. The record is from RNAcentral.
AGCAGCAGCCGCGGUAAUACGUAGGUGGCAAGCGUUGUCCGGAAUUAUUGGGCGUAAAGGGCUCGCAGGCGGUUUCUUAAGUCUGAUGUGAAAGCCCCCGGCUCAACCGGAGAGGGUCAUUGGAAACUGGGAAACUUGAGUGCAGAAGAGGAGUGUGGAAUUCCACGUGUAGCGGUGAAAUGCGUAGAGAUGUGGAGGAACACCAGUGGCGAAGGCGACUCUCUGGUCUGUAACUGACGCUGAGGAGCGAAAGCGUGGGGAGCGAACAGGAUUAGAUACCCCAGUAGUCCCUGUCUCUUAUAA